This 403-nucleotide ribosomal RNA is filed under the name Verrucomicrobiota bacterium. Its description in RNAcentral is "Verrucomicrobia bacterium partial 16S ribosomal RNA". It matches the Rfam family "Bacterial small subunit ribosomal RNA", at positions 355 to 776 of the family's 1533-position model. The record is from RNAcentral. Lineage: Bacteria; Pseudomonadati; Verrucomicrobiota.
UGGGGAAUAUUACACAAUGGGGGAAACCCUGAUGCAGCGACGCCGCGUGAGCGAAGAAGGUUUUCGAAUCGUAAAGCUCUGUCCUAUGAGAAGAUAAUGACGGUAUCAUAGGAGGAAGCCCCGGCUAAAUACGUGCCAGCAGCCGCGGUAAUACGUAUGGGGCGAGCGUUGUCCGGAAUUAUUGGGCGUAAAGGGUACGUAGGCGGUCUAUUAAGUCAGGUGUGAAAGCGUGAGGCUUAACCUCAUUAAGCACUUGAAACUGAUAGACUUGAGUGAAGGAGAGGAAAGUGGAAUUCCUAGUGUAGCGGUGAAAUGCGUAGAUAUUAGGAGGAAUACCGGUGUCGAAGGCGACUUUCUGGACUUUUACUGACGCUCAGGUACGAAAGCGUGGGGAGCAAACAGG